Molecule: ribosomal RNA, 477 nt
Filed under: uncultured bacterium
Lineage: Bacteria
Description: bacterial SSU rRNA
Rfam family: Bacterial small subunit ribosomal RNA
Source: RNAcentral
AUGAACGCUGGCGGCGUGCCUAACACAUGCAAGUCGAGCGAGAUGUUUCCAUAUGAGGCUCCGGCGGAUUAUGGAGACGGAAGCGGCGGACGGUGAGUAACGCGUAGGUAACCUGCCCCAUACAGAGGGAUAGCCACUGGAAACGGUGAUUAAUACCUCAUAAGACUGAGGAUACACAUGUAUCUGCGGCCAAAGAUUUAUCGGUAUGGGAUGGACCUGCGUCUGAUUAGCUAGUUGGUGGGGUAACGGCUCACCAAGUCGACGAUCAGUAGCCGAACUGAGAGGUUGAUCGGCCGCAUUGGGACUGAGACACGGCCCAGACUCCUACGGGAGGCAGCAGUGGGGAAUAUUGCGCAAUGGGGGAACCCUGACGCAGCAACGCCGCGUGCAGGAAGAAGGUCUUCGGAUUGUAAACUGUUGUCGCAAGGGAAGAAGACAGUGACGGUACCUUGUGAGAAAGUCACGGCUAACUACGUG